This 520-nucleotide ribosomal RNA is filed under the name uncultured Glomus. RNAcentral's name for it is "SSU rRNA". It matches the Rfam family "Eukaryotic small subunit ribosomal RNA", at positions 569 to 1092 of the family's 1831-position model. Lineage: Eukaryota; Fungi; Glomeromycota; Glomeromycetes; Glomerales; Glomeraceae. The record is from RNAcentral.
AGCAGCCGCGGUAAUUCCAGCUCCAAUAGCGUAUAUUAAAGUUGUUGCAGUUAAAAAGCUCGUAGUUGAAUUUCGGGGUUAGUAGGUCGGUCGUGCCACAGGUAUGUACUGGUCUCACUGAUUCCUCCUUCCUGAUGAACUGUAAUGCCAUUAAUUUGGUGUUGCGGGGAAACUGGACUGUUACUUUGAAAAAUUAGAGUGUUUAAAGCAGGCUAACGCUUGAAUACAUUGGCAUGGAAUAAUGAAAUAGGACGUUCGAUCCUAUUUUGUUGGUUUCUAGGAUUGACGUAAUGAUUAAUAGGGAUAGUUGGGGGCAUUAGUAUUCAAUUGUCAGAGGUGAAAUUCUUGGAUUUAUUGAAGACUAACUACUGCGAAAGCAUUUGCCAAGGAUGUUUUCAUUAAUCAAGAACGAAAGUUAGGGGAUCGAAGACGAUCAGAUACCGACGUAGUCUUAACCAUAAACUAUGCCGACUAGGGAUCGAAUGAUGUUAAUUUUUAAUGACUCAUUCGGCGCCUUACG